Phyllostomus discolor (pale spear-nosed bat) is the source of this 2284-nucleotide long non-coding RNA. RefSeq lists it as uncharacterized. The transcript has 2 exons. NCBI's taxonomy places the organism in Eukaryota, Metazoa, Chordata, Mammalia, Chiroptera, Phyllostomidae. The record is from RefSeq and is a predicted model, not a curated record.
UGUAAUAGCAUACUCAAUAAAAUAUACUUAAAAAAUAAAAACGUAAAUUUAGUGUGUUGAUUAGGUAAAUGUGAAGUGCUGAAAAAUGAAACAGGGGAUAUUAUGGAGGAGCAAGGCCUGUGGAAGCCUAAAACUCCAAGCUCUCUCAAAUGCUUCCCCCACUCACUGCCCAUCAGUAGUUCAUAUAACUCAUUCACAAGGGAUACAGCUUCAGAAGGAUCAGCCUCUGCUGGUCCUUCUGUUUACCCACAGAAGUAAAGCUAGUGACAGAAAGACAUUAAGUUGAGACUAAACGAGGCACAGGGAGCUCAAAACUCAAGAACAGAAAUGGUAAGGCAAUGGACCAGAGUCAAAGAUCAUUAUGUGAUACAACUUUUGAUUCCAGUUACCAGAAAAUAAACUUUUCCACCACCAAGUCCAAAAAAUAGAUAUUGAUGCUAACAAAGGUGUUAAAGAAAUUACAUUGCCAGAAAAAUCCCUACCCUAACAAACAAAGGCUCAUGACUGUUCUACCCUAAGGCAAUCCCUGAUUCUAAAUUCUUGUUACCAAUAAGAAAAGAAACAUGAAGUCUCCUGAAAGAGAAUCUUCCUGAAGCCCUUCUCGGAGAUGGCCAUGAAGGACAUAUAAGAAGAGAAAUCUUAGCAGAUAAUCCUGGAGUAAGACAUCCACUGGUUACAGAACUCAGACCAAGGCUAAGGAAAAAACUCAAUAAAGAAAUGCUUAUGAUAUUCUAUGGUCAUAUCAUCAUUUGUACUAUCCUUACCCAAGGAAUAUUACUUAGAUAAGUACUGUAUAAGAUAAUUACUUAGAUAAGUACUAUCCUAUACUUCUUUCAUAAUUAUACAAUCAGAUAUGUUUUAAAGCAUAAGUUGCAGGACCAUAAUGAGCCAAAUGCAAACUUGUUCAAGGUAGAUUUCUGAAUCAUUUCAGGGGAAAAUAAAUUUCACCCAGAGUUUAUGGAACAAUGACUGCAUGAUACUCGUUCAAGAUGCAUCAUCUGGAUAGGACUUUGUCUCUCAUUAUGGAGAGGCAGAGGACAUACAUAUUUGUUCAAAGUAUAACUGGGUCUUGUUAAGUAGAAAGAUUUUGAAAUUACAUGUACGGGGACAAAAAGUAUCUGUGCAAACACACAUAUACACAAAUGUUUGCUGGUCAGCCAAGAAUUGACCCAUUGUAGACACCUGCUCUUGAUCCAUCCAACAUCACCCCCUUUAUUUUGGUAGCAGUAUAAAUAAUAAUGACAGCAGGACCUCAAUUUACUGACAUCAACCCUUUAAAAAUAAAGUACUUUUGGUUACCUACGUUUUGUACAGAGAGCUUGACAACACUGGGGAUUUGCUGACUUGGCUUUGUUAAAUAGAGAGUGCUCUAAAGGACAAGAUUCUGUCUUCUUAGAGUUCCAUCAACCUUAUCAGGUACAUACCUGCUGACAACGGGCCUUGAGAAAUGUUCAGCACCCAGUGGAUACCCAGUGAAAAUUAACUGAUGAUAAUGAAUUAUACAAGCUUUUAAGCUGUCAUUUGAUCCCAGUAUAUAAUUUUCCUGAAUAAAUUAAGCAAUAGUUUGGUAUUCAAUAUCGUUAUAAACUUAAUCCAUCACCUUCAUGAGUCUAGCAAAUUGCUGUAAAAGCAUAAUAUGAGGAUGAUGGAACUCUAGAAAUGAUUCAAAAAAUUCUGUUAUAACAAGAUAAUUAAAGAUUAAGUUACAGAUAGCAUAGUAUAUAGAGAGAAAUUCACAAAAAAUACUAGUUUAGUGACCUUUUUAAAAACAGCAGAAAAAAAAGUCAGUAGCAAAUUGUGUGUGUGUGUGUGUGUGUGUGUGUGUGUGUUUGUGUGUGUAUAACUUUUUCCUCCUCCCUAUAAAGAAAAGUUCAUCUAACUUAAUGUUUAAGUAAAACUGGAUCUCCCUGAGGUUAAAGCCCUGGAAAUACAGAUGAAAGCUCAGUUAGAAGAUAUGGAAUUAGGCAGAGGAAACUAUGAAUUGCUACCUGAACAUUUCAAAAGUAAAUUUAUUUCUGGUAGCUUAAUUUACUCAAAGUAAAUCAGAAGGUAAAUUUGUUGUUAUGAAUCCCCCAGAGCUUUCAGGUAUAGCUCACAACCCUCAGGGUUCAUUGGUGAGUAUCUGUUAAUAGAUUUCACUCUUCAAUAAAUUCUUUUAAUAUGUGGGUGUCACAAAGAAACCUGUGCUUUAGUCCUAAUAACAAUUUUCAUUACAGAUAAAGUUUCUCUGACAUAAUUUGAAACUUUAGCACUCUAAGCAAAGUUCUAAGAAUUGACUCUAAGA